This 252-nucleotide ribosomal RNA is filed under the name uncultured bacterium. RNAcentral describes it as "partial 16S ribosomal RNA". It matches the Rfam family "Bacterial small subunit ribosomal RNA", at positions 524 to 776 of the family's 1533-position model. The record is from RNAcentral.
UACGGAGGGAGCUAGCGUUGUUCGGAAUUACUGGGCGUAAAGCGCACGUAGGCGGCUAUUCAAGUCGGGGGUGAAAGCCCGGGGCUCAACCCCGGAACAGCCCUCGAAACUAGAUAGCUAGAAUCUUGGAGAGGCGAGUGGAAUUCCGAGUGUAGAGGUGAAAUUCGUAGAUAUUCGGAAGAACACCAGUGGCGAAGGCGACUAACUGGACAUGUAUUGACGCUGAGGUGCGAAAGCGUGGGGGCAAACAGG